This 535-nucleotide ribosomal RNA is filed under the name Nocardia brasiliensis. RNAcentral describes it as "bacterial SSU rRNA". It matches the Rfam family "Bacterial small subunit ribosomal RNA", at positions 56 to 609 of the family's 1533-position model. Lineage: Bacteria; Bacillati; Actinomycetota; Actinomycetes; Mycobacteriales; Nocardiaceae. The record is from RNAcentral.
CUCAAGUUGAGCGGUAAGGCCCUUCGGGGUACACGAGCGGCGAACGGGUGAGUAACACGUGGGUGAUCUGCCUCGCACUUCGGGAUAAGCCUGGGAAACUGGGUCUAAUACCGGAUAUGACCUUUCAGUGCAUGCUGUUGGGUGGAAAGAUUUAUCGGUGCGAGAUGGGCCCGCGGCCUAUCAGCUUGUUGGCGGGGUAACGGCCCACCAAGGCGACGACGGGUAGCCGACCUGAGAGGGUGACCGGCCACACUGGGACUGAGACACGGCCCAGACUCCUACGGGAGGCAGCAGUGGGGAAUAUUGCACAAUGGGCGGAAGCCUGAUGCAGCGACGCCGCGUGAGGGAUGACGGCCUUCGGGUUGUAAACCUCUUUCGACAGGGACGAAGCGCAAGUGACGGUACCUGUAGAAGAAGCACCGGCCAACUACGUGCCAGCAGCCGCGGUAAUACGUAGGGUGCGAGCGUUGUCCGGAAUUACUGGGCGUAAAGAGCUUGUAGGCGGUUUGUCGCGUGUCCGUGAAAACUUGGGGCU